AACAGAAAGCAGUGUGUGGCGAGG
Molecule: non-coding RNA, 24 nt
Filed under: Cricetulus griseus (Chinese hamster)
Lineage: Eukaryota; Metazoa; Chordata; Mammalia; Rodentia; Cricetidae
Source: RNAcentral